UGAAGAUCAUCAAAGGUUAGUGCUGCAUUUAGCUGUGGUUUUGGUUUUUGUGACAUUAUAUGUUAGCUUGAAAAAUGGGUGUGUGAUUAUUUCUGGCUGGGUACUCUCCUGACAAAAUCUAAUGUUUUGCUUUCGUUGUAAAGCCUUUUUGAAAUCGGACAAUGUGGAGAGUAUUGUCUUUAAAAUGGUGUAAAAUAGUCAUAUGUUUGAAAAAUGGAAGUUUUUGGAUUUCUGAGGUGUUUGUAAUUCGCGCCACGCCCUAUCAUUGGAUAUUGGAGCGGUGUUCCGCUAGCGGAACAUCUAGAUGUAAGAGGUUUGGACCCCGUCUCCACAUUCCUCAUAUGCAUGUUCUCCCCCACACUUCUCACAUCUCCUUUUGUAUUCACACACCGCCUCCACAUGCCCAAACCUUUAUAACACAGUUACAGCAAUGCAAUGGCUUUGGAACAUAAGCUCGCACAUAGUAACUCAUAUAAUCAAUCCUAACUUUUUUUGUCAGUACCAGAUCCUCAAAGUUUAGUAGCACUGACAGGAUAUCCACCUUUUUCCCCAUCUCGUGUCAUCACAAUUUCCGGAACUCCUGUAAUAACUCCCUUCACCCACUGCCGUCUAGUUUGAUCCGGCAUGCUACUAUCAACCACACGUGUACAUACCUGCUUGAGUUUGAGUGCCUUUUUGAAUGUUUGAGUUUGAGUGCCUCAUACUGUUUAGCAUUGAUACACACCACCACCAAAUUUACAACACUAAGAACUUUAGCAGACACAACCUCUCCUACUUUACUCUCCAAAUCCCUAGUCAACGUGAUCGGACUCGCCGCUGUGACUCCACCCACGUCCUUAAAUUUCCCCAACACAGUGAACUCCACUUUUUUUAAUACAACACUGCAAACCGAACCUCCCUCGUCACUACUCUACCUCCACCUUUUUCCACUCCACCACUACGCUCCAUCCUGUCCUCCUCAACUACUAAUCCCCUAUAUUUCUAUCCAUCUCUGCUCCAGUCACAGCCCAUUGUUGCUCAACCACCUCCACCAGAUUUCACGCUCCAAAUGAAAAACCAGGCCAGAUUAAGCCUCUGACAUUCACUGUCAACUGUGGGACCUUAAAUAGACAGGUUGCUGUUCUUCACGGCAGUAUAUGCCCAGCAAGCCAGCAAAGUAUGGCAUCAAAUAUGGGUGACCUGUGACGCACAAUCCAGCUACGCUUGUAAGAUGUAAGUCUACACAGGGAAGCCGACCAGUGGAGGUCCGGAGAAGAACCAGGGGAUGCGGGUAGUGCUUGAUGUGACAGAUGGACUGAGGGGGCACAAUGUCACGUGUGACAAUUUCUUCACCUCUCAUGACCUCAGCCAGCAG
RNAcentral lists this long non-coding RNA (1354 nucleotides) under Salmo salar (Atlantic salmon). RNAcentral's name for it is "lncRNA (ENSSSAG00000113153.1)". The record is from RNAcentral. Lineage: Eukaryota; Metazoa; Chordata; Actinopteri; Salmoniformes; Salmonidae.